Molecule: transfer RNA, 72 nt
Filed under: Listeria monocytogenes
Lineage: Bacteria; Bacillati; Bacillota; Bacilli; Caryophanales; Listeriaceae
Description: tRNA-Gly
Rfam family: tRNA
About the family: Transfer RNA (tRNA) molecules are approximately 80 nucleotides in length. Their secondary structure includes four short double-helical elements and three loops (D, anti-codon, and T loops). Further hydrogen bonds mediate the characteristic L-shaped molecular structure. tRNAs have two regions of fundamental functional importance: the anti-codon, which is responsible for specific mRNA codon recognition, and the 3' end, to which the tRNAs corresponding amino acid is attached (by aminoacyl-tRNA synthetases). tRNAs cope with the degeneracy of the genetic code in two manners: having more than one tRNA (with a specific anti-codon) for a particular amino acid; and 'wobble' base-pairing, i.e. permitting non-standard base-pairing at the 3rd anti-codon position.
Source: RNAcentral
GCGGAAGUAGUUCAGUGGUAGAACAUCACCUUGCCAAGGUGGGGGUCGCGGGUUCGAACCCCGUCUUCCGAU